GAACGCUAGCGGCAGGCUUAACACAUGCAAGUCGAGGGGUAACAGGGAGUGCUUGCACUCUGCUGACGACCGGCGCACGGGUGCGUAACGCGUAUGCAACCUACCUUCUACAGGGGGAUAGUCCAGAGAAAUUUGGCAUAAUACCCCAUACGAUCAUUUAUUGGCAUCGAUAGAUGAGGAAAACUCCGGUGGUAGAAGAUGGGCAUGCGUCCUAUUAGUUAGUUGGUAAGGUAACGGCUUACCAAGACAUCGAUAGGUAGGGGUCCUGAGAGGGAGAUCCCCCACACUGGUACUGAGACACGGACCAGACUCCUACGGGAGGCAGCAGUGAGGAAUAUUGGACAAUGGAGGCAACUCUGAUCCAGCCAUGCCGCGUGCAGGAAGACGGCCCUACGGGUUGUAAACUGCUUUUAUACAGGAAGAAACGCCGCUACGUGUAGCGGUUUGACGGUACUGUACGAAUAAGGAUCGGCUAACUCCGUGCCAGCAGCCGCGGUAAUACGGAGGAUCCAAGCGUUAUCCGGAAUCAUUGGGUUUAAAGGGUCCGUAGGCGGUUUUUUAAGUCAGAGGUGAAAUCCUGCAGCUCAACUGUAGCAUUGCCUUUGAUACUGAAAGACUUGAGUUAUUGUGAAGUAGUUAGAAUGUGUAGUGUAGCGGUGAAAUGCAUAGAUAUUACACAGAAUACCGAUUGCGAAGGCAGAUUACUAACAAUAUACUGACGCUGAGGGACGAAAGCGUGGGUAGCGAACAGGAUUAGAUACCCUGGUAG
RNAcentral lists this ribosomal RNA (769 nucleotides) under uncultured bacterium. Its description in RNAcentral is "bacterial SSU rRNA". It matches the Rfam family "Bacterial small subunit ribosomal RNA", at positions 31 to 793 of the family's 1533-position model. The record is from RNAcentral.